CGUGUCUCUAGUGCCAGCAGCCGCGGUAAUACGGAGGGGGCUAGCGUUAUUCGGAAUUACUGGGCGUAAAGCGCAACGUAGGCGGCUUUGUAAGUCGAGAGGGUGAAACGCCUGGAGCUCAACUCCAGAACUGCCUUUGAGACUGCAUCGCUUGAAUCCAGGAGAGGUGAGUGGAAUUCCGAGUGUAGAGGUGAAAUUCGUAGAUAUUCGGAAAGAACACCAGUGGCGAAGGCGGCUCACUGGACUGGUA
This 250-nucleotide ribosomal RNA is filed under the name uncultured bacterium. Its description in RNAcentral is "partial 16S ribosomal RNA". It matches the Rfam family "Bacterial small subunit ribosomal RNA", at positions 494 to 739 of the family's 1533-position model. The record is from RNAcentral.